RNAcentral lists this ribosomal RNA (273 nucleotides) under uncultured prokaryote. RNAcentral describes it as "partial 16S ribosomal RNA". It matches the Rfam family "Bacterial small subunit ribosomal RNA", at positions 524 to 796 of the family's 1533-position model. The record is from RNAcentral.
CACGUAGGAGGCAAGCGUUAUCCGAAUUUACUGGGCGUAAAGCGCGUGCAGGCGGUUCGGUAAGUUGGAUGUGAAAUCUCCCGGCUCAACUGGGAGGGGACGUUCAAUACUGUCGGACUUGAGGACGAUAGAGGGAGGUGGAAUUCCCGGUGUAGUGGUGAAAUGCGUAGAUAUCGGGAGGAACACCAGUGGCGAAAGCGGCCUCCUGGAUCGUUCCUGACGCUCAGACGCGAAAGCUAGGGGAGCGAACGGGAUUAGAAACCCCUGUAGUCC